AUUGAACGCUGGCGGCAGGCCUAACACAUGCAAGUCGAGCGAGCGGCGGACGGGUGAGUAAUGUAUGGGGACUGCACGAUAGAGGGGGAUAACUACUGGAAACGGUGGCUAAUACCGCAUACUGUCGGAUAACCCAUAUGGGAUUAGCUAGUGGGUGGGGUAAAGGCUCACCUAGGAGACGAUCUCUAGCUGGUCUGAGAGGAGGUUCAGCAACACUGGGACUGGGACACGGCCCAGACUCCUACGGAGGCAGCAGAGGGGAAUAUUGGACAAUGGGCGCAAGCCUGAUGCAGCAAGGCCGCGUGUAUGAAGAAGGCCUUAGGGUUGUAAAGUACUUUCAGCGGGGAGGCGUUACCCGAAGAAGAAGCACCGGCUAACUCCGUGCCAGCAGCCGCGGUAAUUC
RNAcentral lists this ribosomal RNA (403 nucleotides) under uncultured bacterium. RNAcentral describes it as "partial 16S ribosomal RNA". It matches the Rfam family "Bacterial small subunit ribosomal RNA", at positions 29 to 526 of the family's 1533-position model. The record is from RNAcentral.